This 72-nucleotide transfer RNA is filed under the name Camelus bactrianus (Bactrian camel). It matches the Rfam family "tRNA". Rfam says of the family: Transfer RNA (tRNA) molecules are approximately 80 nucleotides in length. Lineage: Eukaryota; Metazoa; Chordata; Mammalia; Artiodactyla; Camelidae. RNAcentral also lists the same sequence under 2 other names. The record is from Rfam by way of RNAcentral.
GUAUAUGUAGCUCAGUGGUAGAGCAUGUGCUUAGCAUGCAUGAGGUCCUGGGUUCAAUCCCCAAUAUUUCCA